Molecule: unclassified non-coding RNA, 356 nt
Filed under: Hevea brasiliensis (rubber tree)
Lineage: Eukaryota; Viridiplantae; Streptophyta; Magnoliopsida; Malpighiales; Euphorbiaceae
Source: RNAcentral
GCCCGUUGUUAUGAAGUAGAUGAACCAAAAGAACUUUCCAGCCUUCCACUCGAAGCCAAUCAUGGUAUAAAGGAUAAAACCGUAGAUGAUUGAUUGAAUUGUAACAUAAAUUGCCUCUAUUGCCACCUGAGCCAAUGCGUAAGGCAGUGCGGAAUACAUUCCAGCUGCUCUUUCACGGUAGAAAACUGUUCUUUCAAUUGCAACAAUGGGUUGCACUGAAGAAGUAUUGGUUGCACCAAGGAAAAAUAUUGCAGUAUACAUGGCUCCCAAAAGAUUCAUUAGAUCCUGUUGUUUGGUAGUCUUUUGCCCUUCGUUCCAAAAGAUGAGACCAAACAGAACCCCUAUGACUAUUGUCA